UCGUACCUUUGCUAGAAAGUGUAGUUUGAUGCUUUACAGUUGUGCAGCUCUGCGAGGUGAUGCACAGAUGUCACCUGUUGACAAGUCUUUUCGUAGCUUGCACACAGUUAAAGGAAAGCUUUUGCAUGGCUGCUUUACGGUUAUAUCAUCGUGCGAGUUUUGAGUGUACCAGGAGUCAGGACAGCACCUACCACCACUUGCGGCGCAAUGAGGACAUUAAGUUGUUUCAUCCUCAUCUUGCUUGAGCAGCUCAUAUGCUCAUUUGCGACUUUGUCAACACCAGAUGACUUAAUUUCAUCCCUUCGGACUGUGUACCGCCCUUUCGACCUAUUCCGCAGCUUUCAAGUCUUAAGGAGAUCAGCUAUAGGUAUGAUGUUAGGAAGAUUGCCAAUUCAUGGAUAUUGAAAAAUAGGAGCUGUCUACAACCAGAAUCUGAAUCAGAAACAUGGCCAUUCCUAACAAAUGAAAAUAAUAAUCAAGAUACUUUAUUUCUGCUGCAGUGAUAGUAGUAACAUUUUUUGCACAUUGUAGUAUAUACUGAAAACAUCUCGUUUAUGGAAUGGAGAAACAAGGUAAUAAACUGCUCUAUGAGUACAGUGCUAGCAAAGGAUGCAAGUAGACCACUAAUGCAUAGAAAGUCAUUUAUACACUUAUAUGCAAACUCUCAUGUAUUUUUACGACUUAAAGAAAAACUAAAUUUCCCCUUUAAGUUGGGCUGAGCUAGACACAUGCAAUACUAUUGUCAUGCUAUCUUAUUAUGUCUUAUAAAUCUGGCUUUCAACAAAACCUUAAAAAUGUACUUAGUCAUGGAGUCAGAGCUAAAAAUAUCAUUACUAUAAAAAUUUAUGGAAAUCGACACAAUCCUUACAAAGACACCUGUAAUUAUGCUUAUUUAGCAAUAAGAAUAAAAAUAUAUCAAAAGUAUUGCUGGCAUGAAUAUCUUGUUCCUUGUUUUCAUGAAAAUAGCUAUCAAAACGAAGAAGGUAAUGAUACUAGUUUACUAAGCAACAUUCUGAAUAUGAAAUCAACAAUUCUACAAUUAUAAAUCUUUUUCACACAUGCAAACU
Pomacea canaliculata is the source of this 1067-nucleotide long non-coding RNA. RefSeq lists it as uncharacterized. The transcript has 3 exons. NCBI's taxonomy places the organism in Eukaryota, Metazoa, Mollusca, Gastropoda, Architaenioglossa, Ampullariidae. The record is from RefSeq and is a predicted model, not a curated record.